CUGGUACCGACUGUCUUGGUAUAGGACAGAUUGGCUUAUGUGUGUGUCAUCGGAGAUGGUCUUCGGGUGGCCAUCGUCCCGAUAGCUCCGAUACUGAGUCAGUUACUCUUGGUAGGUCGAACCGUUCACACGGUCAGGAGAGGCACCACAUAAGUCCAUCGUGCCUAUCCUACCUUAUACCAAGAGUCUUUCAAUAGGUACACAGAAAAUAAAAGUUCGUAGCAUUGUUCGUCAAAUUUCGUGAAAUGUUCGUAACUCCAAUGCUCCAAUGGGUAAAUUCAACUCCAGUGAUAAGUAAACCACUGCACAAGUAAUAUUUCAGAUAAGAGAUUUCCACGCUUUGCAGUGAUAAAGUUCUAUGAGUGCAUGAUUGAAAAAUAUAAUGCGUCAAUUCAAACAAACUACUUAUCAAAAAAAAAAAAAGCAAUAUGUUGGAACUUAUGGCUUAUCUACGAAUAGGGUAUAUUUUAAUAAGAACUCCAUCAAUUGCCAUUCGCAAAGAUUUGUUUCACGAGUGAAGACAUCAAGUUCUUUGGGAGUAAAUCGACUCUGCUUUUUUCGUGAAUAUCUUUUGUCGCUGUGCUCCCGCCAAAACUGAUUCAUAGGCCAGUAGAAUUAGCGAAAAAUGACCCCAAACUUUUAAAUAAAUUCGGCCUAGCCAAAUUUUGCACCAUUUGAUUCAUAAAAAUAUAAGAUUUUUUUUAAUAUUUACGUGCAUGCUCUAAAACUUAUGCUCAUUUCAGAAAAUGCGUUUGAAAAAUUUUUCAUACAUUUUUCCAUAGAAGCCAUCGAAGCCAUUGAACGAACAUGCGAUGUCGCUGAACUUCGUGUUCCGAAAAAGUAUGAUUUGACAGUUGAGAAUUUUCGAGUAAAUAUUUUCAUUUUUGUGGGGAUUUUUUUUGUGAAAUAAUGGCUCAGAACAGACGGCCGUGACUAUUGGCUGACGUCUUCGCGAUGCAACUUUUUGGAUGUGACUUUUUUGCGCAGACAUAACCUCAAAGCAACUUUUUUGUGUGCAAAAAAGUGAGAAAUACGGGAAAAAAUGCAUUGCAGUGCCCCCGGGGGGCUUCCCGUAUGCUGUUAUAGCAUUUUCCAGGCGGAAAUUUGCACAAUUCUGUUUUUUACCACAACAAUAUUUCGAUGCAACUUUUUUGACACUUGGAUGCGACUUUUUAAAUGUAACUUUUUUGUAGACAAGAUUUACGACCGUGCAAAUUGUAGGGAAAUUGUUCGGAAUUCGGUCAGCGGGGAUGAUUAAAAAUGCAAUUAUUUGCAUUCAGCGACGUUUCGGAAAUGUUUAUUUCCUUCUUCAGGCUCUAGGGAAAAUACAUUAAGUUGGACAUUAGGUGGCUUUUCUUCACAAAGGAAAAAUUCUCACAGAAAAUUACAAAAAACUAAUUUAACUCACUCUGCAGGUAUCACAUUUUUCGUCAAAAAGGGAGGGGAAAGUCUCCAUAACAAUCUACACAUCAUUAAAAUUAAAUAAAUUAAUUUUAAACUACACAACAACAUAAUUCUUGGAACAGAAAAUUCUCAAGAGCUCAAAAACACUUAAUCGCUGAAAACGUCCAAUAUCCAACUGAGCCGGCGUAGAAAGAUGAGCGAGCGAUCAGCCCCCCCAACGCAACACCAAACCGUUUCAUCAGCUGGAACAGCACGCGUGUAUGUGUGUGUGUGUGAAAGUUGACGAAUCACUGCUGUGUGUGCAAGUUGAAGAACAAUUGCCGUUUUGUGGACGCGCAUCUAGAAGGUUCCACCAAAUAAGAUGCACCAAAUGCGCGCGGAAAAAACAUUUUUUUGUAAUCGGUGAAGAAAAUCCAGUAGAAUGAAAAUAUCCGCCCAGAAUUAAAGCUGCAAGUCGUGUCAAAACUUGAAAACUUCGUGUAGAAUGCGUCCCUUUGGAGAAGUUGUGUUUUUAAUCCGAAUAAAACUUGUAGACAAGAUUUACGACCGUGCAAAUUGUAGGGAAAUUGUUCGGAAUUCGGUCAGCGGGGAUGAUUAAAAAUGCAAUUAUUUGCAUUCAGCGACGUUUCGGAAAUGUUUAUUUCCUUCUUCAGGCUCUAGGGAAAAUACAUUAAGUUGGACAUUAGGUGGCUUUUCUUCACAAAGGAAAAAUUCUCACAGAAAAUUACAAAAAACUAAUUUAACUCACUCUGCAGGUAUCACAUUUUUCGUCAAAAAGGGAGGGGAAAGUCUCCAUAACAAUCUACACAUCAUUAAAAUUUUGUUCAAAAAAAAGUGAAAAAAGUUUCCUCGAAAAAGUCACACCCAAAAAAGUUGCAUCAAAAAAGUCACACCCAAAAAGUCACAUCCAAAAAAGUUACAUCGAAAAAGUCGCAUCCAAGUGUCAAAAAAAGUUGCAUCAAAAAAGUCACACCCAAAAAAGUUGCAUCAAAAAAGUCACAUCCAAAAAAGUUACAUCGAAAAAGUCGCAUCCAAGUGUCAAAAAAGUCGCAUCGAAAUAUUGUUGUGGUAAAAAACAGAAUUGUGCAAAUUUCCGCCUGGAAAAUGCUAUAACAGCAUACGGGAAGCCCCCCGGGGGCACUGCAAUGCAUUUUUUUCCCGUAUUUCUCACUUUUUUGCACACAAAAAAGUUGCUUUGAGGUUAUGUCUGCGCAAAAAAGUCGCAUCCAAAAAGUUGCAUCGCGAAGACGUCAACCAAAAGCCACGGCCGUCUGUUCUGAGCCAAUGUGUGUUUACUUAUUAUUUCUGCAUUAUCUCAUGUAGGAAGUACUUUUUUUAAUCCUCAGUUGAGUGGAAAUUGUAAAAACUAUAGAAUUUUAUGUGGUUUGUGUGAGCAAUUUCUUGGAACCCCCCAGUGACGUCACUUGUUCGUUCAAUGGCUUUGAUGGCUUCUAUGGGAAAAUGUAUGGGAAUAUUUAAACGCAUUUUCUGAAACGAGCAUAAGUUUUAGAGCACUCCAGUAAGUAUAAAAAGGUUUCUUAUAAUUCUUUGAAUCAAAUGGUGCAAAAUUUGGCUAGGCCGACUUUAUUUAAAAGUUAUUUUACUUCUCAGCUGGCCUAUCAUUGUUUUCGCCUUCAAGCUCCUUGUGUACACCCUGCCAUGGAUAAAGAGCGACUCGAAAAUCUGCACAGCAUGAGGGAGGCAUCCAAAACCAAGCUGACAGACCUAGAGAAGACUCUUAACAACAAACGUAAACGCUUCACGGAGGAGAAGCUCACAGCAUAUGAGGCACUACUGAAUACAAUCUCCCAACGAUUUCAAAACGAUCAGAAGGAGAUUUAUCGUCUUAUUGAUACAGCUUUAAAAGUUGAACAGAAGGAGGACAGCGAUUUUAAUGACCGAAUCCUAGCUGCACAAAUAAAGAUCCGCAGCUCACUGCCCGGAGGUGUAGCAUCACCACCAACUUUUUAUUUUAUUUUUUCUUUAUUAUUAUUAUUAUUAUUAUUAUUAUUAUUAUUAUUAUUAUUAUUAUUAUUAAAGUCAUGCUUCGGACAAUCGUCUUUACAAUUCCAAAUUUGUUCCCAGCUCCACUGCUAUGAAUCAAUAUUACAAAUAGUAGGGGAGAGCGGGGCUAUUUGUGACAGUCUGGAAUUUUCAAAUGGCAAUUUCUCUCAAGUUAUUUAUCGGAAGCACCUGAAAAAAUUAUGAUAAGAAGUCCUACCUACCCUCAAUAGUUGACUGUAGUUUGGAGAUUAUCCGAUGAAUAGUUUAGGAAUAAAAAAAUAAACAAAUUUCGAGCCCUCAAAAAAAUACGUUUUGCGUGUUGAGAAAAACUCAUUUUCCGACACUUUUCUUUUAGCGAUUUUCCAAUCUCACCGUCUUUUCCACAAGCUAGGUCAAUACAGAAAACAUUGCCACUCUGUUGUAACCGUUAUUAUAUAUAAAUAUAUGUAGGGGGACAUGGGGCAAAAUGUUAGAAAGUUAAGACAACACAUCUCCAAUAUCUCAGUAAAUAUUAUUUCGUUAUUGUUCUAAUUUAGUCAAAAGGUACCUUUUAUGGUGCUUGAAUUUACGACUGUGAAAUAUUCGUGUGGGAGGAAAAUUCGGUUGCAGUCUUGAUGAAAGUGCAAUUUACGAAAGUGCAAUUUCGUAAAUUUUUUGUUUUUUAGGUUUUUUAUUAAAAAAAAGUUCUAAUUGUUACACAAAUAUCUUAUUUUCAAUUGCUUUUAUAUAGUGUCUAGACGAUAUAAAAUAAAAUUAAAAUUUAAGGACAAAAAACACAAACUAACAUUUUGCCCCAUGGUUGAGGCAAAAAAGUUAGAAGUGCAAGGUUUCGGAAAAGGGACUGAAAAUGCAUUUUCCCGUUGAGUUAGAAAAUAAUUGUCUGAGACCAAGUUGUAGCCUGGAAAAUUUCCUAUAAGAUAGUCGUCAUGAGAAGACUCAAAUAUUUUCAGGAAAAUCAGGAAAAUGUUUCUCCCAAAAAAACUAACUUUUUGCCCCAUGUUCCCCUACCUAUUUCUUAACAUUAACACAUUUGCUGUUAUUUUUAAUUCCUCUAAACUUUUUAAAAAAAAUUAUGACUCAUAGAAUUUAAAUCUUUUGUACAUAUGUAUAUAAUAUACAUAUAUAAUAUUUAGUCUUGUGCAACACAUGUAAAAAAAAAGAAUAAAGUUCAAAUCUGGUGCAUUUGUUGAAGCUCGUAAUCUCACUAAAAAAUUACCAAAAAAAAACAAAGAUUAUAAUUAAUUUUUCUUAAAAUAUUUAUUUAUAACUUUAUUUUACUACAUUUUAUAAUUUUUAUUUAUUUAUUUAUUUUUUUGAUUUUGUACACAAAAAUGCAUUUUCUUACUUUAUCUAUGUAGAUAAUAUAAUAAACUCUCACAAUAAAAUAAAAUUUAUUUUCUAAAGUAAAAAUAUCAAGAGUAAGAUGAUUAGAUAAAUUCUAUUUUCUUUUCUUUUCUUUUUAAACAUUUCUCACUAAAGAAAAUUAUUUAAGAAAAAAACAUUAAAAUAUAGCAUCUCAAUUUAGAAAUAAAAACCUUAAAAAGAGCUACAAAUAAAGUUUAAAAAAUGCUUUUCUCCUCAUUUUUUGUUGAGAAAAAAAAUUCUUUUAUUGCAGAAGAAAGAAAAAUUAAUUUACUUCCUAAUUUUUCUACGAUUUUGGUGAUAAAAUCGGAGAAAUUCUGCUCCACAAAAUCUCUUUUUCAGUUCUAUUCGUGGAUUUAUUUUUCAGUAUUAGUGUUUUGGCUGCUUCUCAUCUUCAACCCACAGCAGCUUCCACUUCUGAUUGUUUGGCACUUUGAUAUUACAUAUUUUAUUUACUUAUUAAACAGUCUAACGUUUGAUUAUUUCUUCUUUUUUUUCUAAUUUCUUUCACAUUUUGUAGAAAAUUUUGAUUAAAAAUUGAUUUUCUUUUAAUGAUUAUAAAUUCUUCUUCAGGCCCAUUUCUUUUUGGAAAACUUUUUAAAAACCCUGUUCUAAAGGAAAUUCCUCUGUUGGGAAGACUUUUCCUAAUAAAUUGCUUGUGAAAGAAAUAAAUUCAUUUAUUUUGAAUUAAAUGAGCGAGCAACGAAGGAUUUUUUUUAAUAUUAAAGAGGUUUGUUCGGUUUAUACUAAAAUUAAUUUUAAAGAAAAAAUCUCUUAAAAGUUUUCUUAAUUAAUUAAGAAAAUUUACAAAAAAAAAACAGGUAAGUAGGUACAAUAAAUAUUUCCUUUAUCCAUAAAAUUCUCUUAUAAAAGAAAAAAAUCUAAAGCUCCAUGUUCGGAGCUCCUUAUACUGUCAAACGGGGUGAGUUGAAUCAAAUUCUCAGGUUAGAUUUUCUAAUUGAAAAUUUAUAAUAA
Lutzomyia longipalpis is the source of this 5745-nucleotide long non-coding RNA. RefSeq lists it as uncharacterized. The record is from RefSeq and is a predicted model, not a curated record. NCBI's taxonomy places the organism in Eukaryota, Metazoa, Arthropoda, Insecta, Diptera, Psychodidae. The transcript has 2 exons.